AGGAAGGCUUGCUGGACUGGCUGCACUGCAGAGCACAAACUGGCCUCUACUUCAGUCCCGUGACUCAGAAGAGAAAUGUGUCCUUGACAAGCUGUCUCCUAGCACAGAUACAUCUGGAACAUGCAGCAAUCUUUGGAAAGGUUGAAUAAAGCUAGAGAUGUUCAUUGCCAAGGUACUCAGCUCCUCUUGUGCACUGUGCCUUGGAGUGUGACUUGUGCAGCCUCCAGAGGGAACUCUGACUGCUGCACACUUGGGAAAGACCCUCUGCUCCUUGGGAACCUGCUACCUCUGCUUUCUGGAGAUGCCUGGUCAGUGGCUUAGUCAUGGCUUUUGGCUUCUCUUCUGCCAUCUAUCACGAGUUCCUGGGUGGUCCAGCUCAGUGAAUGCAUCUGUCUGUAAAAUAACCAUCCGGGUAGAAACAAAUUGUAAUGCUUGAGAAAAGUGUGCUUUUGCGUACAGAUUGUUUAAAAAUCAGUAUCUUUAGUAUUUCCUACUGCCUUCCUAUUUUUUUUUUCCUGCUGGAAGCGGAUGUUGCAUCAAUAAAAGCUAUGACAAAAGACUUGUACUAUACUCAUCCUUUGUAUUUUUGAUGAGUUUUAUGAAGAUCCAGGGUCUUCAGCUGUGUUCAGAAGCAGGGCUUUACUGGGGAGAAGCUAAGGAAACAUCCAGCAUUUUAUUGCCACUUUCCAGAGCAACACAAUCUCCCUCCUCACAGUGCAGGGAACUUCAGAUAUUCAGUUCAGUGCUACCUCCAUCCCAUGGCUGCUCACAAUAAAAGCACUGGCUGAUGCCUACUUUCUGAAACUAUGUGAGGCAAAGUUGAGGCUGAAAUGCAGGACCUCCCUUUUCUCAAGCCUGAUUUGUGUUGUCUGUCACCCUUUAUUUUAACAUUUGGGUUUAUGAAAUUCAAAGGGAAGAAUCAGAAAUGUUGCUAGUUAAAUUAAGCAAUGGAACAUCUUGUGUUUAUUUUUAGUUGGAAAAAGUGGAUUUUCUUUUCUGUAUGCUGAAGUUCUGCUGUCAGAGCCCUGCUGGUAAUGUGCAUGUUUUUGCAGACUUUGUGAACAAGUAAAUGUCCAUGCAUAGAUGGACCUUUGGCUUAGCUUCUGACCCUUUCAUGGUUAUUUUUGGCAAGAAAGUUCCAUAGAAUAAUAAGCAGUGGGACUGAAAUGUAGUUUAACUGCAGAUGGGAUAGUGGAGAGCCAUGCUUUGGUUGAUAAAGCUCUCUCAGAAGGCUUUUCCCAAGGGAGGCCCUUCUCUUCUCGAGGCUGCACUUCACUGUCUGUCACCUCCUGAAAGCAGAAUUCAAGAGGCAGCUCUGCUGCAGCUUUGAACCUCUGCCUGUCAAAGCCAGCAGGCUCACAGCAUUUCUUUUAGCUUCCUCCAUGAUUGACACCUGCCUGCUACUGAAGGCAAUGACAUGCUGCUUUUCAUCAUCCCACAACUCUGCUCGGUGCCUUUAAGCCAAAACAUAUGUUUGCUCAGAAUCACAGAUGCCUCCUAUCUUUAUUAAACAGCUAUUUCAGCCCAUGAUGAAGUCUGCAGUCCCAGAAGAUCUGGAAAGAAGUUUUGUGAAAUAGCAAUAGCCCAGUACAGAGAAAUAUCUAAUGCACAUAGCUGAUCUUUGGCCUGCUUACUUUCCUCUCUCUGGGAGAAUAAUAUUUGAAUGUAAACACUGUGUGUUGGUGCUCCCUGCCCAUGGCAGGGGGUGGAAUUAGAUGUUUUUUAAGGUUCCUUCCAACCCAAACCACUGUAUGACUCUGUGACUCCUUGCCAGCUGAAAAUGCCCUCCUUAAGAUGAAUUCCUCAUGAGCUUUCUGUACAACGGAAAUGUUGGACGUAGAUGCUAUGAUAGAACUUGAGAUAUCUCUCACGUACACAUCAGCUCUGAGCCCUUUGCCCAGGUUAUCCAUACUGGGAAUGGGAAAGUAGCACCUUUAUGGGAUGAUUCCUAAAGAAACCUGAAGUAUUGAAUGAUUUGCCAUUUAGGAAAGCCUAUUUGUCCCCUCUGUUGCUUAAGGGGGUUUAGUCAGCUAGCCAGAUGUUGGUAUUUGUUAGCUUUGAAGUAAGGACCAGCUGAAUGGGAUCACAGAAUCACAGAAUCACAGAAUUUCUAGGUUGGAAGAGACCUCAAGAUCAUCGAGUCCAGCCUCUGACCUAACGCUAACAGUCCCCACUAAACCAUAUCCCUAAGCUCUACAUCUAAACGUCUUUUAAAGACUUCCAGGGAUGGUGACUCCACCACUUCCCUGGGCAGCCUGUUCCAAU
Molecule: long non-coding RNA, 2265 nt
Filed under: Anas zonorhyncha (Eastern spot-billed duck)
Lineage: Eukaryota; Metazoa; Chordata; Aves; Anseriformes; Anatidae
Description: lncRNA (ENSAZOG00000013765.1)
Source: RNAcentral